GAACGCUGGCGGUGUGCUUAACACAUGCAAGUCGAACGGGCAAGAGCUGUAGCAAUACAGAAUUCUGCUAGUGGCAAACGGGUGAGUAAUACAUGGGAAUCUACCUUGCAGUGCGAAAUAACAGUUGGAAGCAAUUGCUAAUGUCGCAUAUAGCCGAGAGGUGAAAGAUUUAUCGCUGCAAGACGAGCCCAUGCAGGAUUAGCUAGUUGGUGGGGUAAUGGCUCACCAAGGCGACGAUACGUAGCCGACCUGAGAGGGUGAUCGGCCACACUGGAACUGAGACACGGUC
RNAcentral lists this ribosomal RNA (289 nucleotides) under uncultured Candidatus Midichloria sp. RNAcentral describes it as "partial 16S ribosomal RNA". It matches the Rfam family "Bacterial small subunit ribosomal RNA", at positions 31 to 331 of the family's 1533-position model. The record is from RNAcentral. Lineage: Bacteria; Pseudomonadati; Pseudomonadota; Alphaproteobacteria; Rickettsiales; Candidatus Midichloriaceae.